RNAcentral lists this ribosomal RNA (493 nucleotides) under Riethia queenslandensis. RNAcentral's name for it is "partial large subunit ribosomal RNA". It matches the Rfam family "Eukaryotic large subunit ribosomal RNA", at positions 444 to 896 of the family's 3401-position model. The record is from RNAcentral. Lineage: Eukaryota; Metazoa; Arthropoda; Insecta; Diptera; Chironomidae.
UGUGCACUUUUCUCUUAGUAAGACGCCGUGAUCCAUUAGAAAUUGGUAUACGCCAGUAUACAUUAGGUCAUCAAUAGGCCGGCAUGAAGUUUCUCGGAACAAAUGGCAUGAUCUUUUACGGUUGUGUAUAUUGUCUGGGAAGCAUGUAUGACUGUCUGAUGGAUUUUAAGGAUCAUAUUAUUGGUGAUGAGACUAUAUGUGUCUGAUCGACGGCGGUUAAAUUUGGGAUACCUUUUGGACCCGUCUUGAAACACGGACCAAGGAGUCUAUCUAGUAUGCGAGUAAAUGGGUAAUAUGAAACCUAUUUGCAUAAAAAACUUGACUGUUUCAUGUCUCUUCUCCAUCCCGGAGUAUUUUCAUCAACAUGUGCCUCGGUACAUGGAAAAUAUAUCAUGAGCACACUGGAUACGACCCGAAAGAUGGUGAACUAUGCCUGAUCAGGUCGAAGUCAGGGGAAACCCUGAUGGAGGACCGAAGCAGUUCUGACGUGCAA